UACAGAGGUGGCAAGCGUUGUUCGGAAUUACUGGGCGUAAAGGGCGCGUAGGCGGUCUUGCAAGUCCUGUGUGAAAUCCCUCGGCUCAACUGAGGAACUGCACAGGAAACUGCUUGGCUUGAGUUCGGGAGAGGGAAGCGGAAUUCCGGGUGUAGCGGUGAAAUGCGUAGAUAUCGGGAGGAACACCAGUGGCGAAGGCGGUUGCCUGGAGCUUUGCUGACGCUGAGGCGCGAAAGCGUGGGGAGCGAUCCGG
Molecule: ribosomal RNA, 253 nt
Filed under: uncultured bacterium
Lineage: Bacteria
Description: partial 16S ribosomal RNA
Rfam family: Bacterial small subunit ribosomal RNA
Source: RNAcentral